AUUGAACGCUGGCGGAAUGCUUUACACAUGCAAGUCGAACGGCAGCACGGGGGCAACCCUGGUGGCGAGUGGCGAACGGGUGAGUAAUACAUCGGAACGUGCCCGGUCGUGGGGGAUAACGUAGCGAAAGUUACGCUAAUACCGCAUACGAUCUGAGGAUGAAAGCGGGGGACCUUCGGGCCUCGCGCGAUCGGAGCGGCCGAUGUCAGAUUAGGUAGUUGGUGGGGUAAAGGCCUACCAAGCCGACGAUCUGUAGCUGGACUGAGAGGACGACCAGCCACACUGGGACUGAGACACGGCCCAGACUCCUACGGGAGGCAGCAGUGGGGAAUUUUGGACAAUGGGCGCAAGCCUGAUCCAGCCAUUCCGCGUGCAGGACGAAGGCCUUCGGGUUGUAAACUGCUUUUGUAUGGAACGAAAAGGCUCUGGCUAAUACCUGGGGCUCAUGACGGUACCGUAAGAAUAAGCACCGGCUAACUACGUG
This 484-nucleotide ribosomal RNA is filed under the name uncultured bacterium. RNAcentral's name for it is "partial 16S ribosomal RNA". It matches the Rfam family "Bacterial small subunit ribosomal RNA", at positions 30 to 507 of the family's 1533-position model. The record is from RNAcentral.